This 253-nucleotide ribosomal RNA is filed under the name uncultured bacterium. RNAcentral's name for it is "partial 16S ribosomal RNA". It matches the Rfam family "Bacterial small subunit ribosomal RNA", at positions 524 to 776 of the family's 1533-position model. The record is from RNAcentral.
UACGAAGGGGGCUAGCGUUGUUCGGAAUUACUGGGCGUAAAGGGCGCGUAGGCGGCCUUCUAAGUCGAACGUGAAAUCCCCGGGCUCAACCCGGGAACUGCGUCCGAUACUGGAAGGCUUGAAUCCGGGAGAGGGAUGCGGAAUUCCAGGUGUAGCGGUGAAAUGCGUAGAUAUUGGGAGGAACAUCGGUGGCGAAGGCGGCUACCUGGACGGGUACUGACGCUGAUGCGCGAAAGCUAGGGGAGCAAACAGG